Molecule: long non-coding RNA, 3061 nt
Filed under: Salvia miltiorrhiza (redroot sage)
Lineage: Eukaryota; Viridiplantae; Streptophyta; Magnoliopsida; Lamiales; Lamiaceae
Description: long non-coding RNA (SMIL_LNC006218)
Source: RNAcentral
CAACCUCUUUAUAUCUGUAGACCUCGUACGCACUUACGCUGUAAUAUUAUUACAAACACAAAAUUAAAAGAACAGAAACCGUUUCGAAAUUACGAAGACUUAUUUGUAGGAUUCCAGCUACCCUUACCCAUCANUAAAAGUGCAUGAAGUCGAAGACUAUGAUUUAUUUAUUAUCAUUUUAAUACGCUAAUUUGAUGGUCUAUUUAGAGAUUAAGGCCGUGGGCUUUAGGAAAUAUGGAGACAUGGUGUUUUCUUUAAUUUCCUUAGCUAAAGUGGCGGCUAGGUAUUGGGGUUAGGGGGCAUAUAUAUAUUAGGUUUUAAUUUCUCUUGUUACCUUUAAGAUUGAACUCAUAAUAUAGAUAACUUUUUAGGAAAGCGAGAAAAUAUUUGUAUUUAUCAAAAAGAAAAAGGAAUGGGACACAUUGUAAACAAAGAUGUGGAAGGUUGCAGAGCAAAACAACCGGGAAUGUGGGGCCCAGUAGACCCAAAAGGCGAUUUUGCAAAUAAAUUCUGUGUGAGAGAUACCCGAUAUGUCUAUAAAUACGCUCACGCGCCUCAUUUAUCGUUGUCACGCACUAUUCGGGACUAUCAUGUCAGACCUGACACUGUAGCCAAAGCCUUUCCUAUUGGUCCGUGCUUUCCACGCUCAUUUCUCGCGAGUGCUGCGCUUUGAAAUAAUCCGAUUCCCCUUGUUCCGUUGUUUAUCAGUUUUGCUACUGCCACGCCGCUCCGUAAGAGAAAAUAAAAUUCUUAGAGCAUCCGUAAUGGGCUUACUUGAUAGCCUACUUGAUAGCCUACUUGAUAGUGGUUGUGUUAUUGAGUAGGUAGUGCUGAUUGGGGUUACUUGAUAGCCUACUUGAUAACAUUAUUUUGAUUUUUAUGUUUUUNAUUUAAAUUUAAUUGCGCAAAUUUAAAUAACACAAUUUAUUUCAAAUUUAAAUUGCAAUAAUUAUAAAAUCCUAAAUUUACAUAAAACUUAAAUAAAAUAAAAACAAUUCCUAAAAAUUAACUAUUCUGGCCCUAGAGGUCCGAAACGUGCCCAAAGGUGCUCCAUCAAAUCAUUCGGAGCUGAGCAUGUAGUGUUAUCUCGGAGAAUAUCCCUUCGCACAUAUUCCUCGAAGGACACCGGUGUUUGUCCAGCACUCUCCGUCGAAGCACUGCUAGACGCCCCGUCAUCAUCUCUCCAGUUGGCAGCCGCUUCACCUUCGUGCUCCACAAUCAUGUUGUGGAGAAUGAUACAACACAACAUGAUGUCCUUCAGGUGCUCUACGUACCAAUUGCGCCCCGGACUUCGAAUGAUUCCCUACCGAGCUUGAAGGACUUCGAAUUAAUUUUUUUUUUUUUUAAUUUCGGGCGCGUGCAGAGCACGCGCCGCUCGAGUGCUACCCGAGCACUCGAGCAUUCCUCGAGUUCCCCCCCUCGCAACGCUGCUACUCGACCGCAACACCUUCCUCGAGUAGCCACUCGAGGAUAGCGCCGCGGGAGCUCUUAACACCUUAUCUUUAAUUUUCGUGUCCAAAGUAAAUGUGUCAAGAUAAGUGGGACGAAUCAAGUAUAAUCUUAUAAUUUCUUUCAAAGUGUUUGGCAAAAUAAUCUCUUAAACAUGCUUUAAAAAUAAGCUCCAAGAGCUUAUAAUAAGCACCUCAAAAAAAAGUUCUACUCCAACUUAUUUGUUUAUAAUCUUAUAUGCAACAAUCAUUUUACAUAUAUUAUUCAACAAUAAUUUAUUAUUUUCAUCACAUACUAUUUAAAGUUCACCCCUCUUCCAUUUUCUUUUCUAAUAAAGAUUUUUUGUGUCUAGUAAAAAAAUAUUUCUCUAACUUAUAAACUCAAUCAUCUAAACAUUUUAAUAAUUUAUAAGUUUUUAAAAAAUUAUAGUACUUCCACUGUCCCACGAAUCUUGACACGUAUACCUUUUUGAGUCGUCCCACGAAUCUUGACACAUUUCUAAAUAAGAUAAUAAUUAUUGUCUUAUCUCUCCUACUUUAUCAUUUUUAUACUUUAUUAACAAGACACUUAAAACACUAAUCUAUAAUUCAUUAAUUUUCGUGUCAAAACCAAACGGGACGGAAGAAGUAUUUUAUAAACUUUUAAAAUAUUUUAUAAAUUUUUAGUACUUAUUAACUCCUUAAAAUAAACUUAGCUACAACCUCUUUAUAUCUGUAGACCUCGUACGCACUUACGCUGUAAUAUUAUUACAAACACAAAAUUAAAAGAACAGAAACCGUUUCGAAAUUACGAAGACUUAUUUGUAGGAUUCCAGCUACCCUUACCCAUCAAUCCAUUACUUAUCCUCGCCAAAAAAAUGAAGGGGAAUCUGAUUUUCGCCAACGGUUUACAGAAGGCUGAUUCGAAUUCAAAUCCUCUGUGGAAGUGGAAAGGAAUCGAUUUGGCGACGAGAAAGCCCGAAAACAAGCCGUAUUCGGUGCCGGAAUUCUUCCACGAGAAGAUAGAUGACGCUGUCCUCGGCCCCGGAGUCGGCGCCGGAAUUGGCUGCGGCGCGGGGUUGGGGUUGGGGGUGGUCGGCGGCGCCGGCUUAUUCAGCUCGCCGUGGAAUAAUCUUAGAGUGGCAUUUGGCGUUGGAAUUGGAUGCGGCGUGGGUGUUGGAGUCGGGUACGGGCAGGGAUACGGCGGAGGGUUCAGCUUGGAAUCCCUUAGAUCUUAUUGGCUGAAGCCCAGAUCCAAAUCUAAGGGCCGGGUUCGGGUUUAGGUAUCAUUCAUUUCGCCCGGAAAUUUUGCUUUCAUCUUCUUUUUCGGAGAUUUUGUAGCUUCGUGUUUGAUGAUAAAAUGUUUAUUUUGUUUCAUAUUUUGUUACUCGUCCAUCAAUUCAUGCUAUAUGGUGCUUGAUCUUGUACCCGGUUAUAACUUUUAAGCAUAGGAGUAAAACUUAUUGAUCCAAGAUUUGUCACUUUUCAAUUGCUCACCAACCGCAGGUUAAAAUUAAAUUUGUCUCAAAAUUGAUUUGGAUCUGUGAUGCGAUGGAUUCAAGCCGCAAAUACAACGUUGUGAUUUGAAAUAUUUUGUCCUGAAUUUUAUGAAAUCAGGUGGCAAUUUGCACAUC